AGCCGCCGCGGUAACACCGGCGGCCCGAGUGGUGAUCGUGAUUAUUGGGUCUAAAGGGUCCGUAGCCGGUUUGGUCAGUCCUCCGGGAAAUCUGAUAGCUCAACUAUUAUGCUUUCGGGGGAUACUGCCAGACUUGGAACCGGGAGAGGUAAGAGGUACUACAGGGGUAGGAGUGAAAUCUUGUAAUCCCUGUGGGACCACCUGUGGCGAAGGCGUCUUACCAGAACGGGUUCGACGGUGAGGGACGAAAGCUGGGGGCACGAACCGGAUUAGAUACCCGGGUAGUCCCAGCCGUAAACGAUGCUCGCUAGGUGUCAGGCAUGGCGCGACCGUGUCUGGUGCCGCAGGGAAGCCGUGAAGCGAGCCACCUGGGAAGUACGGCCGCAAGGCUGAAACUUAAAGGAAUUGGCGGGGGAGCACAACAACGGGUGGAGCCCUGCGGUUUAAUUGGACUCAACGCCGGACAACUCACCGGGGGUGACAGCAAUAUGUAGGCCAAGCUGAAGACUUUGCCUGAAUCGCUGAGAGGUGGUGCAUGG
RNAcentral lists this ribosomal RNA (539 nucleotides) under uncultured archaeon. RNAcentral describes it as "bacterial SSU rRNA". It matches the Rfam family "Archaeal small subunit ribosomal RNA", at positions 460 to 997 of the family's 1478-position model. The record is from RNAcentral.